CCUUGUUUUGGAAGCUAAGCAGGUUUGGUCCUCAUUAGUAUUUGGGUGGGAGACCACCAGGGAGUAACAUGUCUAGGCAGGGC
RNAcentral lists this ribosomal RNA (83 nucleotides) under Pogona vitticeps (central bearded dragon). Lineage: Eukaryota; Metazoa; Chordata; Lepidosauria; Squamata; Agamidae. The record is from RNAcentral.